GGCACUGCCCGGUAGCUAAAUGCGGAAGAGAUAAGUGCUGAAAGCAUCUAAGCACGAAACUUGCCCCGAGAUGAGUUCUCCCUGAGACUUAGAGUCUCCUGAAGGAACGUUGAAGACGACGACGUUGAUAGGCCGGGUGUGUAAGCGCAGCGAUGCGUUGAGCUAACCGGUACUAAUGAACCGUGAGGCUUAACCUUAC
RNAcentral lists this ribosomal RNA (199 nucleotides) under Salmonella enterica subsp. enterica serovar Agona str. SA-1. Its description in RNAcentral is "partial 23S ribosomal RNA". It matches the Rfam family "Bacterial large subunit ribosomal RNA", at positions 2734 to 2925 of the family's 2925-position model. The record is from RNAcentral. Lineage: Bacteria; Pseudomonadati; Pseudomonadota; Gammaproteobacteria; Enterobacterales; Enterobacteriaceae.